GUUGUUCGGAAUCACUGGGCGUAAAGGGCGUGUAGGCGGUCAGGUAAGUGAGACGUGAAAUGCCCCGGCUCACCCGGGGACCUGCGUCUCAUACUGCUUGGCUUGAGUACGGGAGAGGAUGUGGGAAUUCCUGGUGUAGCGGUGAAAUGCGUAGAUAUCAGGAGGAACACCGGUGGCGAAGGCGGCAUCCUGGACCGGCAUUGACGCUGAACAGCGAAAGCCAGGGGAGCAAACGGG
RNAcentral lists this ribosomal RNA (237 nucleotides) under uncultured bacterium. RNAcentral describes it as "partial 16S ribosomal RNA". It matches the Rfam family "Bacterial small subunit ribosomal RNA", at positions 540 to 776 of the family's 1533-position model. The record is from RNAcentral.